CAGGCGCCUCCUCUCUCCUCGCGCAAAGCGUUUUCCUGGAGCGUUUCGUGGCCUACACACGCGACGCGGCUCAACAUUCGCAACGCUAUUUGGCGAAACGUCGUGACUCGAUGCAACCCUCGCCCGUUCAUACGGAGAGGCACGUAUUUUGAUUAAGAGAAGUGAACGCGCUUCGACUACCAAAAAGGCAAGUGACAUUCAAAUCCUACCUAUUUUAUAUUAUGCAUUAGAGUUUUCAAUUAGUAUGCAUGGUAGGGUUUUUGUUUUCAAAAGUAAAGUAUAUAUGAUAUGCUUAGAUCCUAGUAGUGUGUAGCCAUCCCUCAAACAAAACUUGCUAGGAUUGUCAGAAGUGAUUUAAAAAAAAUGAUGUCAAUGCUUUGUUUCACUUGUUGGUUAAAGUGUUGUUUGAAAAUUUUAAAGUUAAUAACCUUAAUGAAACACACCUGGGUGGAAUUGGUGUGGCUUUGGAUUAUGUUGAGUGGCUACCUGGGGCUAUAUACCUGGCAGUGAAAACCAUGGUAUGUGGUGGUGACCUGGGGGGUGAGUACACUUGUGGUUGGCCACCCAGGAUUAAAGAGAUUAUUAUGUCGUCCAUGCUUUAGAUAGCUUCCAGUGCAACCACAAUACAUUAUGGGCUCUGUCUUGGCUAAGUACUUGUGGGAAACCUCGCCUAGGGUACCGCCAGCGGGUGGAGUUUGGGUACGGGCGGAUCCGGUAGGUGGAGGGGCUACUAAGGAAAAGCUUCGUAGUGACCUCGUCCUGGCUUUAAUGAAGAUGAAGAAUUUUGGCAAAAAGGCUUGGUUGUGAAUUGUGGGUAAAGAGCGCAACCUCUCGAGAGUUAAACCUAAGAUCUUAGCCGUGUCCCUGGUUAUGGACAAUUUGAGCUUCUAGGCAAGGAAUGUACGGAAGAAUCUCAUCACCUUUUCUGAAUGAUUAAAAAGUUGUGUAGAAACAAUCAUAGGACGGGAUUUUCCCAGGGCUACAUACCUGGCAGUGAAAACCAUGGUAUGUGGUGGUGACCUGAGGUUUAUCCUAGUUGAGUGGCCCCAGGGCUACAUACCUGGCAGUGAAAACCAUGGUAUGUGGUGGUGACCUGGGAGUCAUCUCGACUUAGUGCCCUGAUACGUCCAAAACGUAUCUACUUUCCCGAACACUUUUGCUAUUGUUUUGCCUCUAAUUUGUGUAUUUUGGAUACAACUAACACGGACUAACGCUGUUUUCAGCAGAAUUGCCCUGGUGUCUCGUUUUUGUGCAGAAAUUCAACUUUCAGGAAAAUCCCCGAAAUUUAUGUCGAAGGGCUUAUUUUUUCAGAAGAUUCACAGAGCCAGAAGGGCAGGCCAGGGGGGGCCACGGCCCCCACACCAUGGGCCGGCGCGGCCUAGGAGGGGGGCGCGCCGCCCUAUGGUGAGGCCGCCUCGGCCAGCCUCUGACGCCCCUCUCUGGACUAUUCAAGGGUUUCGAUCUAAAAACGCGAGACGGGAAGUCGAAGUCGCCAGAAACCAUCCAGAACACCGCCGCCAUUGCGAAACUCCGUCUCGGGACCAGAAACUCCGUUCUGGCAUCUCGCCGGGAUGGGGAAUUGGAGGAGAUCAUCGCCAUCAUCACCACCGACGCCUCUCCAUCGACCAGCCAUAUUUCCCCCAUCCAUGUGUGAGUAAUUCCCCCGCUGUAGGCUGAAGGGGAUGGUAGGGAUUGGAUGAGAUUGGUCAUGUAAUAGCAUAAGAUUGUUAGGGCAUAGUGCCUAGUAUCCGUAAUUGGUACUUUUAUGAUAUUGUUGCAACUUGUUAUGCUUAAUGCUUGUCACUAGGGCCCGAGUGCCAUGAUCUCAGAUCUGAACAUGUUAUUGUUUCAUGAUGAUAUUCAUUGUUUUAUGAUCUUA
Molecule: non-coding RNA, 1879 nt
Organism: Lolium perenne
Lineage: Eukaryota; Viridiplantae; Streptophyta; Magnoliopsida; Poales; Poaceae
Source: RefSeq, a predicted model, not a curated record